CCAAAAGAUAAUUCGGUUCAUUAU
RNAcentral lists this non-coding RNA (24 nucleotides) under Arabidopsis thaliana (thale cress). The record is from RNAcentral. Lineage: Eukaryota; Viridiplantae; Streptophyta; Magnoliopsida; Brassicales; Brassicaceae.